RNAcentral lists this ribosomal RNA (373 nucleotides) under uncultured bacterium. Its description in RNAcentral is "bacterial SSU rRNA". It matches the Rfam family "Bacterial small subunit ribosomal RNA", at positions 29 to 429 of the family's 1533-position model. The record is from RNAcentral.
AGCGAACGCUGGCGGCAGGCUUAACACAUGCAAGUCGAGCGGGCGUAGCAAUACGUCAGCGGCAGACGGGUGAGUAACGCGUGGGAACGUACCUUUUGGUUCGGAACAACACAGGGAAACUUGUGCUAAUACCGGAUAAGCCCUUACGGGGAAAGAUUUAUCGCCGAAAGAUCGGCCGCGUCUGAUUAGCUAGUUGGUGAGGUAAUGGCUCACCAAGGCGACGAUCAGUAGCUGGUCUGAGAGGAUGAUCAGCCACAUUGGGACUGAGACACGGCCCAGACUCCUACGGGUGGCAGCAGUGGGAAUAUUGGACAAUGGCGAAAGCCUGAUCCAGCAAUGACCGCGUGAGUGAUGAAGGCCCUAGGGUUGUAAA